AUGUUUCCAUUAGUUUCUCUCUCUUCAUCUAACAAACAACAAACCUGCUCUGCACAUCUUCACUUUCUCCGACCCAAAUCACUGGAGAAGGUGGCGGCGUGUGGCAGCUGCUACCGUGUUCUCGUGAAGCCAUCACAUCAAAUUGCCAGAGUCCAAACAAACCCCCCCUUAAAUUUGAAGUGUGAUUACAAAUCCGGUCUCAAAAUGCUUAGAAUCCGAACCAAAAAUUCUAGAUCUAAAGGUGCACAACGAAACCCUAUAUUAUCAAAAUCAAAUUAA
Molecule: non-coding RNA, 279 nt
Organism: Vicia faba (fava bean)
Lineage: Eukaryota; Viridiplantae; Streptophyta; Magnoliopsida; Fabales; Fabaceae
Source: the annotation of a GenBank genome assembly